RNAcentral lists this transfer RNA (72 nucleotides) under Sphaerodactylus townsendi. Its description in RNAcentral is "tRNA-Ala". The record is from RNAcentral. Lineage: Eukaryota; Metazoa; Chordata; Lepidosauria; Squamata; Sphaerodactylidae.
GGAGCCAUGGCUCAGUGUCAGAGCAUCCGUUUGGCAUACAGAAGGCCCCAGGUUCAAUCUCCAGCAUCUCCA